This 501-nucleotide ribosomal RNA is filed under the name uncultured bacterium. RNAcentral describes it as "partial 16S ribosomal RNA". It matches the Rfam family "Bacterial small subunit ribosomal RNA", at positions 30 to 523 of the family's 1533-position model. The record is from RNAcentral.
AUUGAACGCUGGCGGCAUGCCUUACACAUGCAAGUCGAACGGCAGCACGGGUGCUUGCACCUGGUGGCGAGUGGCGAACGGGUGAGUAAUACAUCGGAACGUACCUUAUCGUGGGGGAUAACGCAGCGAAAGUUGCGCUAAUACCGCAUACGCCCUGAGGGGGAAAGCGGGGGACCGUAAGGCCUCGCGCGAUUAGAGCGGCCGAUGUCUGAUUAGCUUGUUGGUGAGGUAAAAGCUCACCAAGGCGAUGAUCAGUAGCUGGUCUGAGAGGACGAUCAGCCACACUGGGACUGAGACACGGCCCAGACUCCGACGGGAGGCAGCAGUAGGGAAUUUUGGACAAUGGGGGCAACCCUGAUCCAGCAAUGCCGCGUGAGUGAAGAAGGCCUUCGGGUUGUAAAGCUCUUUUGUCAGGGAAGAAACAGCAGCUCUAACACAGUCUGCGAAUGACGGUACCUGAAGAAUAAGCACCGGCUAACUACGUGCCAGCCGCCGCGGUAA